This 465-nucleotide ribosomal RNA is filed under the name Vreelandella stevensii. RNAcentral describes it as "partial 16S ribosomal RNA". It matches the Rfam family "Bacterial small subunit ribosomal RNA", at positions 338 to 795 of the family's 1533-position model. Lineage: Bacteria; Pseudomonadati; Pseudomonadota; Gammaproteobacteria; Oceanospirillales; Halomonadaceae. The record is from RNAcentral.
CCUACGGGUGGCUGCAGUGGGGAAUAUUGGACAAUGGGGGGAACCCUGAUCCAGCCAUGCCGCGUGUGUGAAGAAGGCCCUCGGGUUGUAAAGCACUUUCAGUGAGGAAGAACGCCUGGUGGUUAAUACCCAUCAGGAAAGACAUCACUCACAGAAGAAGCACCGGCUAACUCCGUGCCAGCAGCCGCGGUAAUACGGAGGGUGCGAGCGUUAAUCGGAAUUACUGGGCGUAAAGCGCGCGUAGGUGGCUUGAUAAGCCGGUUGUGAAAGCCCCGGGCUCAACCUGGGAACGGCAUCCGGAACUGUCAAGCUAGAGUGCAGGCGAGGAAGGUAGAAUUCCCGGUGUAGCGGUGAAAUGCGUAGAGAUCGGGAGGAAUACCAGUGGCGAAGGCGGCCUUCUGGACUGACACUGACACUGAGGUGCGAAAGCGUGGGUAGCAAACAGGAUUAGAUACCCGUGUAGUC